This 495-nucleotide ribosomal RNA is filed under the name uncultured bacterium. Its description in RNAcentral is "bacterial SSU rRNA". It matches the Rfam family "Bacterial small subunit ribosomal RNA", at positions 29 to 512 of the family's 1533-position model. The record is from RNAcentral.
AGUGAACGCUGGCGGCAGGCCUAAUACAUGCAAGUCGAACGGCAGCACAGCAGAGCUUGCUCUGUGGGUGGCGAGUGGCGGACGGGUGAGGAAUACAUGGGAAUCUGCCCAGUCGUGGGGGAUAACGUAUGGAAACGUACGCUAAUACCGCAUGCGCCCUAAGGGGGAAAGCCGGGGACCGCAAGGCCUGGCGCGAUUGGAUGAGCCCAUGUUCGAUUAGCUAGUUGGCGGGGUAAAGGCCCACCAAGGCGACGAUCGAUAGCUGGUCUGAGAGGAUGAUCAGCCACACUGGAACUGAGACACGGUCCAGACUCCUACGGGAGGCAGCAGUAGGGAAUAUUGGACAAUGGGGGCAACCCUGAUCCAGCCAUGCCGCGUGAGUGAAGAAGGCCCUCGGGUUGUAAAGCUCUUUUGUCCGGAAAGAAAAGCAAUCGGUUAAUACCCGGUUGUCCUGACGGUACCGGAAGAAUAAGCACCGGCUAACUUCGUGCCAGC